UUCUUGUAGUAGCCUUCAUGCUACAGGAAGGGACAUCAAAUUACUUCAAAGGGCUGAUGCUUCUUCUGUGCUAUCUGAUAGUCGCAGCGAGUUUCUUUGUACAUAUAGACGAAGACUCUUCGCAGGAGGAUCAUCCUUAGGAGUUGUACAUACAAAAAAAAAAGGAAGAAGAAGAAAAAGAAGCACAUCCUCAAGUCUGUUGGAAAAUUAAGGCCCCAAAUAUAGAUUCAAGAUCUUCAAGAACUAUGCAUGUGUAUAUAUAUACUACUCCAUAUUAUUUGUAAAGUUAUCUUGUGAAAGAAGUUUAAUAACGAUGCUUGUUUUAA
Non-coding RNA from Salvia hispanica, 326 nucleotides. NCBI's taxonomy places the organism in Eukaryota, Viridiplantae, Streptophyta, Magnoliopsida, Lamiales, Lamiaceae. The record is from RefSeq and is a predicted model, not a curated record.